GGUUAAGCGACUAAGCGUACACGGUGGAUGCCCUGGCAGUCAGAGGCGAUGAAGGACGUGCUAAUCUGCGAAAAGCGCCGGCGAGGUGAUAUGAACCUUUGACCCGGCGAUGUCCGAAUGGGGAAACCCAGUGUGUUUCGACACACUAUCGUUAACUGAAUACAUAGGUUAACGAGGCGAACCGGGGGAACUGAAACAUCUAAGUACCCCGAGGAAAAGAAAUCAACCGAGAUUCCCCCAGUAGCGGCGAGCGAACGGGGAGCAGCCCAGAGUCUGAAUCAGCUUGUGUGUUAGUGGAAGCGUCUGGAAAGUCGCACGGUACAGGGUGACAGUCCCGUACACGAAAAUGCACAGGCUGUGAACUCGAAGAGUAGGGCGGGACACGUGGUAUCCUGUCUGAAUAUGGGGGGACCAUCCUCCAAGGCUAAAUACUCCUGACUGACCGAUAGUG
This 451-nucleotide ribosomal RNA is filed under the name Enterobacter pseudoroggenkampii. Its description in RNAcentral is "partial 23S ribosomal RNA". It matches the Rfam family "Bacterial large subunit ribosomal RNA", at positions 1 to 492 of the family's 2925-position model. The record is from RNAcentral. Lineage: Bacteria; Pseudomonadati; Pseudomonadota; Gammaproteobacteria; Enterobacterales; Enterobacteriaceae.